UACGGAGGAUGCAAGCGUUAUCCGGAAUUAUUGGGCGUAAAGCGUCCGUAGGUGGCUUUACAAGUCAGCUGUUAAAGCGUGGAGCUUAACUCCAUAAAGGCAGUUGAAACUGUGAGGCUAGAGUGCGGUAGGGGUAAGGGGAAUUCCUAGUGUAGCGGUGAAAUGCGUAGAUAUUAGGAAGAACACCGGUGGCGAAAGCGCUCUGCUGGACCUUAACUGACACUGAGGGACGAAAGCUAGGGGAGCGAAUGGG
Molecule: ribosomal RNA, 253 nt
Filed under: uncultured bacterium
Lineage: Bacteria
Description: partial 16S ribosomal RNA
Rfam family: Bacterial small subunit ribosomal RNA
Source: RNAcentral